RNAcentral lists this ribosomal RNA (372 nucleotides) under uncultured organism. RNAcentral describes it as "partial 16S ribosomal RNA". It matches the Rfam family "Bacterial small subunit ribosomal RNA", at positions 527 to 896 of the family's 1533-position model. The record is from RNAcentral.
GUAGGUGGCAAGCGUUGUCCGGAAUUAUUGGGGCGUAAAGCGCGCGCAGGCGGUUCUUUAAGUCUGAUGUGAAAGCCCACAGCUCAACCGUGGAGGGUCAUUGGAAACUGGAGAACUUGAGUACAGAAGAGGAAAGCGGAAUUCCACGUGUAGCGGUGAAAUGCGUAGAGAUGUGGAGGAACACCAGUGGCGAAGGCGGCUUUCUGGUCUGUAACUGACGCUGAGGCGCGAAAGCGUGGGGAGCAAACAGGAUUAGAUACCCUGGUAGUCCACGCCGUAAACGAUGAGUGCUAAGUGUUAGGGGGUUUCCGCCCCUUAGUGCUGCAGCUAACGCAUUAAGCACUCCGCCUGGGGAGUACGGCCGCAAGGCUG